This 447-nucleotide ribosomal RNA is filed under the name uncultured bacterium. RNAcentral describes it as "bacterial SSU rRNA". It matches the Rfam family "Bacterial small subunit ribosomal RNA", at positions 335 to 799 of the family's 1533-position model. The record is from RNAcentral.
ACUCCUACGGGAGGCAGCAGUGGGGAAUCUUGGACAAUGGGCGCAAGCCUGAUCCAGCCAUGCCGCGUGAGUGAUGAAGGCCCUAGGGUCGUAAAGCUCUUUCGCCAGGGAUGAUAAUGACAGUACCUGGUAAAGAAACCCCGGCUAACUCCGUGCCAGCAGCCGCGGUAAUACGGAGGGGUUAGCGUUGUUCGGAAUUACUGGGGCGUAAAGCGCGCGUAGGCGGACUGGAAAGUUGGGGGUGAAAUCCCGGGGCUCAACCCCGGAACUGCCUCCAAACUCCCAGUCUUGAGUUCGAGAGAGGUGAGUGGAAUUCCGAGUGUAGAGGUGAAAUUCGUAGAUAUUCGGAGGAACACCAGUGGCGAAGGCGGCUCACUGGCUCGAUACUGACGCUGAGGUGCGAAAGUGUGGGGAGCAAACAGGAUUAGAUACCCUGGUAGGAUAGCG